RNAcentral lists this ribosomal RNA (498 nucleotides) under uncultured bacterium. RNAcentral's name for it is "partial 16S ribosomal RNA". It matches the Rfam family "Bacterial small subunit ribosomal RNA", at positions 27 to 507 of the family's 1533-position model. The record is from RNAcentral.
GGAUGAACGCUGGCGGCGUGCCUAAUACAUGCAAGUCGAGCGAACGGACGAGAAGCUUGCUUCUCUGAUGUUAGCGGCGGACGGGUGAGUAACACGUGGAUAACCUACCUAUAAGACUGGGAUAACUUCGGGAAACCGGAGCUAAUACCGGAUAAUAUUUUGAACCGCAUGGUUCAAAAGUGAAAGACGGUCUUGCUGUCACUUAUAGAUGGAUCCGCGCUGCAUUAGCUGGUUGGUAAGGUAACGGCUUACCAAGGCAACGAUGCAUAGCCGACCUGAGAGGGUGAUCGGCCACACUGGAACUGAGACACGGUCCAGACUCCUACGGGAGGCAGCAGUAGGGAAUCUUCCGCAAUGGGCGAAAGCCUGACGGAGCAACGCCGCGUGAGUGAUGAAGGUCUUCGGAUCGUAAAACUCUGUUAUUAGGGAAGAACAUAUGUGUAAGUAACUGUGCACAUCUUGACGGUACCUAAUCAGAAAGCCACGGCUAACUACGUG